GAGUUUGAUCGUGGCUCAGAACGAACGCUGGCGGCAGGCCUAACACAUGCAAGUCGAACGCUGUAGCAAUACAGAGUGGCAGACGGGUGAGUAACGCGUGGGAACCUUCCCAAUGGUGCGGAAUAGCCCAGGGAAACUUGGGGUAAUACCGCAUAAGCCCUUAGGGGGAAAGAUUUAUCGCCAUUGGAUGGGCCCGCGUCGGAUUAGCUAGUUGGUGAGGUAAUGGCUCACCAAGGCAACGAUCCGUAGCUGGUUUGAGAGAAUGACCAGCCACACUGGGACUGAGACACGGCCCAGACUCCUACGGGAGGCAGCAGUGGGGAAUCUUGGACAAUGGGCGCAAGCCUGAUCCAGCCAUGCCGCGUGAGUGACGAAGGCCUUAGGGUUGUAAAGCUCUUUUGCCGGGGACGAUAAUGACGGUACCCGGAGAAUAAGUCCCGGCUAACUUCGUGCCAGCAGCCGCCGUAAC
RNAcentral lists this ribosomal RNA (469 nucleotides) under uncultured Alphaproteobacteria bacterium. RNAcentral describes it as "bacterial SSU rRNA". It matches the Rfam family "Bacterial small subunit ribosomal RNA", at positions 9 to 524 of the family's 1533-position model. The record is from RNAcentral. Lineage: Bacteria; Pseudomonadati; Pseudomonadota; Alphaproteobacteria.